RNAcentral lists this ribosomal RNA (444 nucleotides) under uncultured bacterium. Its description in RNAcentral is "partial 16S ribosomal RNA". It matches the Rfam family "Bacterial small subunit ribosomal RNA", at positions 338 to 795 of the family's 1533-position model. The record is from RNAcentral.
CCUACGGGGGGCAGCAGUGGGGAAUAUUGGGCAAUGGAGGCAACUCUUACCCAGCAAUGCCGCGUGAAUGAAGAAGGUCUUCGGAUUGUAAAGCUCUUUUAUUGGGGACGAAAAAACUUACGGUACCCAAUUAAUAAGCCCCGGCUAACUACGUGCCAGCAGCCGCGGUAAUACGUAGGGGGCAAGCCUUGUUCGGAAUGACUGGGGGUAAAGGGUGUGUAGGGUGUGUAGUAAGGUAGAAUUGAAAUACCUAGAGCUUAACUCAGGUGGUGCUUCUAAAACUGGUAUACUUGAGUGCAGUAGAGGAAAGUGGAAUUCCUAGUGUAGCGGUGGAAUGCGUAGAUAUUAGGAGGAACAUCAGUGGCGAAGGCGACUUUCUGGACUGUAACUGACGCUGAGGCACGAAAGUGUGGGGAGCAAACAGGAUUAGAUACCCGAGUAGUC